Molecule: ribosomal RNA, 564 nt
Filed under: Hyporhamphus unifasciatus (common halfbeak)
Lineage: Eukaryota; Metazoa; Chordata; Actinopteri; Beloniformes; Hemiramphidae
Description: partial 16S ribosomal RNA
Rfam family: Bacterial large subunit ribosomal RNA
Source: RNAcentral
GCCUCUUGUUCAAAACAUAAGAGGUCCCGCCUGCCCGGUGACAAAAGUUCAACGGCCGCGGUAUCCUGACCGUGCGAAGGUAGCGCAAUCACUUGUUUUUUAAAUGAAGACCUGUAUGAAUGGCUCCACGAGGGCUUAACUGUCUCCUUCUCCCAGUCAAUGAAAUUGAUCUCCCCGUGCAGAAGCGGGGAUAAACACAUAAGACGAGAAGACCCUUUGGAGCUUUAGACGACAGGUAGACCAUGUCCCUCCCCCCAAGUAAAAGGAACAAACUCGUUGGAACCUACCCUUAUGUCUUUGGUUGGGGCGACCACGGGGAAACAAAAAACCCCCAUGUGGACUGGGAGUUCCCAUACUCCUAUUACCAAGACCCACAGCUCUAAGUUUCAGAACUUCUGACCAAAAAGAUCCGGCAACGCCGAUCAACGGACCAAGUUACCCUAGGGAUAACAGCGCAAUCCCCUUUUAGAGCCCAUAUCGACAAGGGGGUUUACGACCUCGAUGUUGGAUCAGGGCAUCCUAAUGGCGCAGCCGCUAUUAAGGGUUCGUUUGUUCAACGAUUAA